Molecule: non-coding RNA, 121 nt
Organism: Agrilus planipennis (emerald ash borer)
Lineage: Eukaryota; Metazoa; Arthropoda; Insecta; Coleoptera; Buprestidae
Source: Rfam
UGGUCCUAAAACGGCCUGAGAGGGGUUUUAGUCGGUAGGUUCGAGGACUUCUUCCUCGGGAAUCCGACACUACCCGGUCGUACGGUCGGCUGGGUGUCUUUUGAAGAUUUCCCCUCUUCCA